This 490-nucleotide ribosomal RNA is filed under the name uncultured bacterium. RNAcentral's name for it is "partial 16S ribosomal RNA". It matches the Rfam family "Bacterial small subunit ribosomal RNA", at positions 29 to 506 of the family's 1533-position model. The record is from RNAcentral.
AGUGAACGCUGGCGGUAGGCCUAACACAUGCAAGUCGAACGGCAGCACAGUAAGAGCUUGCUCUUACGGGUGGCGAGUGGCGGACGGGUGAGGAAUACAUCGGAAUCUACUUUUUCGUGGGGGAUAACGUAGGGAAACUUACGCUAAUACCGCAUACGACCUACGGGUGAAAGCAGGGAUCUUCGGACCUUGCGCGAUUGAAUGAGCCGAUGUCGGAUUAGCUAGUUGGCGGGGUAAAGGCCCACCAAGGCGACGAUCCGUAGCUGGUCUGAGAGGAUGAUCAGCCCAACGGGAACGAGACACGGGUCCAACCCCCUAGGGGGGGCAGCAGGGGGGAAAAUUGGACAAGGGGCGCAACCCUGUCCCAGCCAACCCGCGGGGGUGAAGAAGGCCUUCGGGUUGUAAAGCCCUUUUUUUGGGAAAAAAAAGCAGCAGGUUAAUCCCCCGCUGUUCGAGAGGUACCAAAAAAAAAAGCACCGGCAACCUUCGU